GGGGCUGAUUCUGGAUUCGACGGGAUUUGCGAAACCCAAGGUGCAUGCCGAGGGGCGGUUGGCCUCGUAAAAAGCCGCAAAAAAUAGUCGCAAACGACGAAAACUACGCUUUAGCAGCUUAAUAACCUGCUUAAAGCCCUCUCUCCCUAGCCUCCGCUCUUAGGACGGGGAUCAAGAGAGGUCAAACCCAAAAGAGAUCGCGUGGAAGCCCUGCCUGGGGUUGAAGCGUUAAAACUUAAUCAGGCUAGUUUGUUAGUGGCGUGUCCGUCCGCAGCUGGCAAGCGAAUGUAAAGACUGACUAAGCAUGUAGUACCGAGGAUGUAGGAAUUUCGGACGCGGGUUCAACUCCCGCCAGCUCCACCA
RNAcentral lists this transfer-messenger RNA (363 nucleotides) under Escherichia coli. Its description in RNAcentral is "Standard tmRNA". It matches the Rfam family "transfer-messenger RNA". From Rfam's summary of the family: Bacterial tmRNA, also known as 10Sa RNA or SsrA, is named for its dual tRNA and mRNA-like properties. Its role is to liberate the mRNA from a stalled ribosome. Lineage: Bacteria; Pseudomonadati; Pseudomonadota; Gammaproteobacteria; Enterobacterales; Enterobacteriaceae. The record is from RNAcentral.